This 377-nucleotide ribosomal RNA is filed under the name uncultured organism. Its description in RNAcentral is "partial 16S ribosomal RNA". It matches the Rfam family "Bacterial small subunit ribosomal RNA", at positions 527 to 896 of the family's 1533-position model. The record is from RNAcentral.
GGGGGGAGCAAACGUUGUUCGGAAUCACUGGGCGUAAAGGGCGCGUAGGCGGCCUUGCAAGUGGUGUGUGAAAUGCCCUGGCUCAACCAGGGAACUGCGCCCCAAGCUGCAGGGCUUGAGGGCAGUAGAGGAAGCUGGAAUUCCUGGUGUAGCGGUGAAAUGCGUAGAUAUCAGGAGGAACACCGUUGGCGAAGGCGAGCUUCUGGGCUGAUCCUGACGCUGAGGCGCGAAAGCUGGGGGGGGAGCAAACAGGAUUAGAUACCCUGGUAGUCCCAGCCCGUAAACGGUGAACACUAGGUGUGGGGGGUGUCGACCCCCCUUUCCGUGCCGUAGCUAACGCAUUAAGUGUUCCGCCUGGGGAUACGGUCGCAAGGCUG